This 73-nucleotide transfer RNA is filed under the name Acidimicrobiia bacterium. Its description in RNAcentral is "tRNA-Arg". It matches the Rfam family "tRNA". Rfam says of the family: Transfer RNA (tRNA) molecules are approximately 80 nucleotides in length. Their secondary structure includes four short double-helical elements and three loops (D, anti-codon, and T loops). The record is from RNAcentral. Lineage: Bacteria; Bacillati; Actinomycetota; Acidimicrobiia.
GCCCUCGUAGCUCAGUGGAUAGAGCGUCGGUUUCCUAAACCGUGCGUCGUAGGUUCGAUUCCUACCGGGGGCG